CUACUUCUAACAACCCAUUUUGGACUUGCACCUAUAUCUAUUUCAUUUAUGCUGAAAGUUUAUUAUCAUCCUCUUAGUGUCACCAUAAUCCUACACUGGGACAAAUUUUGAUAUUCAUUAAAAUUUUGCUAUAAUUCAAACUACAAAUGGCCUGAUUUCUUGUGAAGCCUGAGAUACUUAGGCAACUCAAAAAUUGGAGCCCGGCCAUAAUCUUCCAAACAUUUUAUUUUGCCUGAGACAAAAUUGGUUACGUCAACGUGAGUGCCAAAGAUUUUCACACAAAU
RNAcentral lists this long non-coding RNA (284 nucleotides) under Capsicum annuum. RNAcentral's name for it is "long non-coding RNA (CANN_LNC004751)". The record is from RNAcentral. Lineage: Eukaryota; Viridiplantae; Streptophyta; Magnoliopsida; Solanales; Solanaceae.